UUUUUUUAAAGGCAAAGUGAAACAUAAAAGAUUCUGUCUCCUUCCCUCCACAGUACUCACUACUUGAUCUCCAAGGGAGAGAGAAAAAAGCAUUUUGUACAGGAAACGUCACCAGGAAUUUUACAGGCCACACAGGGAAGGAAAACUGCCUUGCCUUGAAUCCAACACAGCAGGGACCUGGGCACUGACUGGAAUAGAGAACUGAGUUCAAUGAAAGAUGGAGCCAAGACUGAUGCCUUCUGUGUAGAACACCCACCAUCUCUCAAGAGCUGAGAUUCUGUGAAGGCCCCAUGGAGCUGGCUUCAUAGGAUGAAGCUGAAAUACACCAAGAAGUAAAGGAACAACUGGGUUUCAUGACUUUAAAAGUCCAACAUUGGGAAGAAGUAAGUAAAGGGAAAUUUUUACUUUAACUUUUCUGCCCCAGAUUUGGUUUUAGCCUCCCUGGGGAAUAAAAAUCCAGAUAAGUGAGCCAUAGAUGUCAGUGAGCUUCUUGAAACUAGUGAUGGAGUUCUGGAGCUGUGCUAAGGGUCAUAAAAAGCCCGGUGGAAAUUAUGCCUUUGUUUCCAUUAGCGCUGAUUAGCUGACUAAAAUAUCAGGGUUCUGUAGUUUAGGUCAGUGUAGCAUUGGCAUCUCUGGUUGAUCUUAUGUACUUUUAUGUAUUGACCCCUUAUCCUUUGGUCAAUAAAAAUUGUAAAACUAUCUUUCUUGAAAUUGAUUUGAUGGCCAUAUUUUUCAAAAUGUAGGGUCCAUAUAGAGAAAAUUCUCUAAAGAGGUUGUUGGUGGG
RNAcentral lists this long non-coding RNA (784 nucleotides) under Homo sapiens (human). Its description in RNAcentral is "HSALNT0079661". Lineage: Eukaryota; Metazoa; Chordata; Mammalia; Primates; Hominidae. The record is from RNAcentral.